RNAcentral lists this transfer RNA (85 nucleotides) under Hadesarchaea archaeon. RNAcentral's name for it is "tRNA-Ser". It matches the Rfam family "tRNA". Rfam says of the family: Transfer RNA (tRNA) molecules are approximately 80 nucleotides in length. Their secondary structure includes four short double-helical elements and three loops (D, anti-codon, and T loops). Further hydrogen bonds mediate the characteristic L-shaped molecular structure. tRNAs have two regions of fundamental functional importance: the anti-codon, which is responsible for specific mRNA codon recognition, and the 3' end, to which the tRNAs corresponding amino acid is attached (by aminoacyl-tRNA synthetases). tRNAs cope with the degeneracy of the genetic code in two manners: having more than one tRNA (with a specific anti-codon) for a particular amino acid; and 'wobble' base-pairing, i.e. permitting non-standard base-pairing at the 3rd anti-codon position. Lineage: Archaea; Methanobacteriati; Hadarchaeota (SeqCode); Hadarchaeia (SeqCode). RNAcentral also lists the same sequence under 1 other name. The record is from RNAcentral.
GCCGGGGUAGCCUAGCCAGGUAAGGCGCGAGCCUGGAGAGCUCGUGGCCCGUUGGGCCUCGAGGGUUCAAAUCCCUCCCCCGGCG